RNAcentral lists this ribosomal RNA (460 nucleotides) under uncultured bacterium. Its description in RNAcentral is "partial 16S ribosomal RNA". It matches the Rfam family "Bacterial small subunit ribosomal RNA", at positions 338 to 795 of the family's 1533-position model. The record is from RNAcentral.
CCUACGGGAUGCUGCAGUGAGGAAUAUUGGUCAAUGGACGCAAGUCUGAACCAGCCAUGCCGCGUGCAGGAAGACGGCUCUAUGAGUUGUAAACUGCUUUUGUACGAGGGUAAACGCAGAUACGCGUAUCUGUCUGAAAGUAUCGUACGAAUAAGGAUCGGCUAACUCCGUGCCAGCAGCCGCGGUAAUACGGAGGAUUCAAGCGUUAUCCGGAUUUAUUGGGUUUAAAGGGUGCGUAGGCGGUCGGAUAAGUUAGUGGUGAAAUCCCGAGGCUCAACCUCGGAAUUGCCUCUGAUACUGUUCGGCUAGAGAGUAGUUGCGGUAGGCGGAAUGUAUGGUGUAGCGGUGAAAUGCUUAGAGAUCAUACAGAACACCGAUUGCGAAGGCAGCUUACCAAGCUACUUCUGACGUUGAGGAGCGAAAGCGUGGGUAGCAAACAGGAUUAGAUACCCCUGUAGUC